UGCUAUGAUGUUGUAAUUUGCGUCUUACUCCUCACUUGGCGACAGUUGCCUGCUGUCAAAAUGUCGGUGUAGGACGGCUGAUGUAAACUUUAUUUCUGAGCA
Molecule: small nucleolar RNA, 102 nt
Organism: Rana temporaria (common frog)
Lineage: Eukaryota; Metazoa; Chordata; Amphibia; Anura; Ranidae
Product: small nucleolar RNA SNORD16
Exons: 1
Source: RefSeq, a predicted model, not a curated record